UGGGGAAUAUUGCACAAUGGGGGAAACCCUGAUGCAGCGACGCCGCGUGAGCGAUGAAGGCUUUCGAGUCGUAAAGCUCUGUCCUAUGGGAAGAUAAUGAUGGUACCAUAGAAGAAAGCCCCGGCUAAUUACGUGCCAGCAGCCGCGGUAAUACGUAAGGGGCGAGCGUUGUCCGGAAUUAUUGGGCGUAAAGAGUGCGUAGGCGGCAAAUUAAGUCAGAUGUGAAAACUAAGGGCUCAACCCAUAGAUUGCAUCUGAAACUGAUAUGCUUGAGUCAAGGAGAGGAAAGUGGAAUUCCUAGUGUAGCGGUGGAAUGCGUAGAUAUUAGGAGGAAUACCGGUGGCGAGGGAGACUGUCUGGACUUGAACUGACGCUGAGGCACGAAAGCGUGGGGAGCAAACGGG
RNAcentral lists this ribosomal RNA (404 nucleotides) under Verrucomicrobiota bacterium. RNAcentral describes it as "Verrucomicrobia bacterium partial 16S ribosomal RNA". It matches the Rfam family "Bacterial small subunit ribosomal RNA", at positions 355 to 776 of the family's 1533-position model. Lineage: Bacteria; Pseudomonadati; Verrucomicrobiota. The record is from RNAcentral.